Molecule: ribosomal RNA, 484 nt
Filed under: uncultured bacterium
Lineage: Bacteria
Description: partial 16S ribosomal RNA
Rfam family: Bacterial small subunit ribosomal RNA
Source: RNAcentral
AUUGAACGCUGGCGGCAUGCUUUACACAUGCAAGUCGAACGGCAGCGCGGGCUUCGGCCUGGCGGCGAGUGGCGGACGGGUGAGUAAUGCACCGGAAAGUGCCCAGCAGUGGGGGAUAGCACGGCGAAAGGCGGAUAAAUACCGCAUUCGAUAUGAGCGUGAUCGCGGGGGGGCGAAAGGCCACGCGCUAUUUGAGCGGCCGGUGUCGGACUAGUCAGGUGGUGGGGUAAAGGCUUUCCAAGGCGACUAUCGGUACCUGGUCUGAGAGGACGACCAGCCACACGGAGGGUGAGACUGGGCCCAGACGCCUGCGGGAGGCAGCAGUGGGGAAUUUUGGGCGAGGGAGGCGACGCGGAUCCAGCCAUGCCGCGGGCGGGAAGAUGGCGCGCGGGUGGGAAGCCGCUUUUGGUCGGGGAAAAGUCCUCUGGGCUAGUACGCCGGGAGGAUGACGGUACCGGACGAAAAAGCACCGGCUAACUACGUG